This 253-nucleotide ribosomal RNA is filed under the name uncultured bacterium. Its description in RNAcentral is "partial 16S ribosomal RNA". It matches the Rfam family "Bacterial small subunit ribosomal RNA", at positions 524 to 776 of the family's 1533-position model. The record is from RNAcentral.
UACGGGGGGAGCAAGCGUUGUUCGGAUUUACUGGGCGUAAAGGGCGCGUAGGCGGCGUGACAAGUCACUUGUGAAAUCUCCGGGCUUAACUCGGAACGGUCAAGUGAUACUGUCGUGCUAGAGUACAGGAGGGGCAACUGGAAUUCUCGGUGUAGCGGUGAAAUGCGUAGAUAUCGAGAGGAACACCUGCGGCGAAGGCGGGUUGCUGGGCUGAUACUGACGCUGAGGCGCGAAAGCUAGGGGAGCGAACGGG